Non-coding RNA from Alligator sinensis (Chinese alligator), 74 nucleotides. The record is from Rfam. NCBI's taxonomy places the organism in Eukaryota, Metazoa, Chordata, Crocodylia, Alligatoridae.
GGUACCAUGGCUUAGUUGGUUAAAAUGCCUGUCUCGUAAAUAGGAAGUCCUGGGUUCAAAUCCCAGUGGUACUU